Molecule: ribosomal RNA, 2879 nt
Filed under: Klebsiella pneumoniae
Lineage: Bacteria; Pseudomonadati; Pseudomonadota; Gammaproteobacteria; Enterobacterales; Enterobacteriaceae
Description: partial 23S ribosomal RNA
Rfam family: Bacterial large subunit ribosomal RNA
Source: RNAcentral
GGGUUGUGAGGUUAAGCGACUAAGCGUACACGGUGGAUGCCCUGGCAGUCAGAGGCGAUGAAGGACGUGCUAAUCUGCGAAAAGCGUCGGUAAGGUGAUAUGAACCGUUAUAACCGGCGAUGUCCGAAUGGGGAAACCCAGUGCAAUUCGUUGCACUAUCGUUAACUGAAUACAUAGGUUAACGAGGCGAACCGGGGGAACUGAAACAUCUAAGUACCCCGAGGAAAAGAAAUCAACCGAGAUUCCCCCAGUAGCGGCGAGCGAACGGGGAGCAGCCCAGAGUCUGAAUCAGCUUGUGUGUUAGUGGAACGGUCUGGAAAGUCCGACGGUACAGGGUGAUAGUCCCGUACACCAAAAUGCACAGGUUGUGAACUCGAAGAGUAGGGCGGGACACGUGGUAUCCUGUCUGAAUAUGGGGGGACCAUCCUCCAAGGCUAAAUACUCCUGACUGACCGAUAGUGAACCAGUACCGUGAGGGAAAGGCGAAAAGAACCCCGGCGAGGGGAGUGAAAAAGAACCUGAAACCGUGUACGUACAAGCAGUGGGAGCACCUUCGGGUGUGACUGCGUACCUUUUGUAUAAUGGGUCAGCGACUUAUAUUCUGUAGCAAGGUUAACCGUAUAGGGGAGCCGCAGGGAAACCGAGUCUUAACUGGGCGUUAAGUUGCAGGGUAUAGACCCGAAACCCGGUGAUCUAGCCAUGGGCAGGUUGAAGGUUGGGUAACACUAACUGGAGGACCGAACCGACUAAUGUUGAAAAAUUAGCGGAUGACUUGUGGCUGGGGGUGAAAGGCCAAUCAAACCGGGAGAUAGCUGGUUCUCCCCGAAAGCUAUUUAGGUAGCGCCUCGUGAAUUCAUCUUCGGGGGUAGAGCACUGUUUCGGCUAGGGGGUCAUCCCGACUUACCAACCCGAUGCAAACUACGAAUACCGAAGAAUGUUAUCACGGGAGACACACGGCGGGUGCUAACGUCCGUCGUGAAGAGGGAAACAACCCAGACCGCCAGCUAAGGUCCCAAAGUCAUGGUUAAGUGGGAAACGAUGUGGGAAGGCACAGACAGCCAGGAUGUUGGCUUAGAAGCAGCCAUCAUUUAAAGAAAGCGUAAUAGCUCACUGGUCGAGUCGGCCUGCGCGGAAGAUGUAACGGGGCUAAACCAUGCACCGAAGCUGCGGCAGCGACACUAUGUGUUGUUGGGUAGGGGAGCGUUCUGUAAGCCUGCGAAGGUGACCUGUGAGGGUUGCUGGAGGUAUCAGAAGUGCGAAUGCUGACAUAAGUAACGAUAAAGCGGGUGAAAAGCCCGCUCGCCGGAAGACCAAGGGUUCCUGUCCAACGUUAAUCGGGGCAGGGUGAGUCGACCCCUAAGGCGAGGCCGAAAGGCGUAGUCGAUGGGAAACAGGUUAAUAUUCCUGUACUUGGUGUUACUGCGAAGGGGGGACGGAGAAGGCUAUGUUAGCCGGGCGACGGUUGUCCCGGUUUAAGCAUGUAGGCUGGUUAUCCAGGCAAAUCCGGAUAAUCAAGGCUGAGGUGUGAUGACGAGGCACUACGGUGCUGAAGUAACAAAUGCCCUGCUUCCAGGAAAAGCCUCUAAGCAUCAGGUAACAUCAAAUCGUACCCCAAACCGACACAGGUGGUCAGGUAGAGAAUACCAAGGCGCUUGAGAGAACUCGGGUGAAGGAACUAGGCAAAAUGGUGCCGUAACUUCGGGAGAAGGCACGCUGGUGUGUAGGUGAAGCCCCUGCGGGUGGAGCUGAGACCAGUCGAAGAUACCAGCUGGCUGCAACUGUUUAUUAAAAACACAGCACUGUGCAAACACGAAAGUGGACGUAUACGGUGUGACGCCUGCCCGGUGCCGGAAGGUUAAUUGAUGGGGUUAUCCGUAAGGAGAAGCUCUUGAUCGAAGCCCCGGUAAACGGCGGCCGUAACUAUAACGGUCCUAAGGUAGCGAAAUUCCUUGUCGGGUAAGUUCCGACCUGCACGAAUGGCGUAAUGAUGGCCAGGCUGUCUCCACCCGAGACUCAGUGAAAUUGAACUCGCUGUGAAGAUGCAGUGUACCCGCGGCAAGACGGAAAGACCCCGUGAACCUUUACUAUAGCUUGACACUGAACAUUGAGCCUUGAUGUGUAGGAUAGGUGGGAGGCUUUGAAGCGUGGACGCCAGUCUGCGUGGAGCCAACCUUGAAAUACCACCCUUUAAUGUUUGAUGUUCUAACGUUGGCCCCUGACCGGGGUUGCGGACAGUGUCUGGUGGGUAGUUUGACUGGGGCGGUCUCCUCCCAAAGCGUAACGGAGGAGCACGAAGGUUAGCUAAUCCUGGUCGGACAUCAGGAGGUUAGUGCAAUGGCAUAAGCUAGCUUGACUGCGAGCGUGACGGCGCGAGCAGGUGCGAAAGCAGGUCAUAGUGAUCCGGUGGUUCUGAAUGGAAGGGCCAUCGCUCAACGGAUAAAAGGUACUCCGGGGAUAACAGGCUGAUACCGCCCAAGAGUUCAUAUCGACGGCGGUGUUUGGCACCUCGAUGUCGGCUCAUCACAUCCUGGGGCUGAAGUAGGUCCCAAGGGUAUGGCUGUUCGCCAUUUAAAGUGGUACGCGAGCUGGGUUUAGAACGUCGUGAGACAGUUCGGUCCCUAUCUGCCGUGGGCGCUGGAGAAUUGAGGGGGGCUGCUCCUAGUACGAGAGGACCGGAGUGGACGCAUCACUGGUGUUCGGGUUGUCAUGCCAAUGGCACUGCCCGGUAGCUAAAUGCGGAAGAGAUAAGUGCUGAAAGCAUCUAAGCACGAAACUUGCCCCGAGAUGAGUUCUCCCUGAGACUUUAAGUCUCCUGAAGGAACGUUGAAGACGACGACGUUGAUAGGCCGGGUGUGUAAGCGCAGCGAUGCGUUGAGCUA